UCAUACAAGAGACCCAAAUUAAUUGUUCACGGCGUAAAGAGUGGACCCAUGCUAUCAAGAUACUUAAGGCCAAAGCGUAACUGAGCUGUCAUAAGCUUAAGAUGCAUUUAAAGCCACCUUAAAAGUGACCUUAACUGAUAUGACCCAUUGAACUCCACGAAAGCCAGGGCACAAACUGGGAUUAGAUACCCCACUAUGCCUAGCCCUAAAUCUAGAUGCUUGUACUACUAAAGCAUCCGCCCGAGGACUACGAGCACAAACGCUUAAAACUCUAAGGACUUGGCGGUGCCCCAAACCCACCUAGAGGAGCCUGUUCUGUAAUCGAUAACCCACGCUACACCCGACCACUUCUUGCCUGAUACAGCCUACAUACCGCCGUCGCCAGCUCACCUUCUCUGAGAGUACAACAGUGAGCAUAAUCGCUAUAACCCGCUAAUAAGACAGGUCAAGGUAUAGCCCAUGAAGUGGAAGAAAUGGGCUACAUUUUCUAACCUAGAAAAUUCACGGAAGGGGACAUGAAACAGCCCCCGGAAGGCGGAUUUAGCAGUAAAGCAGGAUAACAUAAGCCCCCUUUAAGCUGGCUCUGAGGCACGUACAUACCGCCCGUCACCCUCCUCAAAAGCUUUAAAGCCCCUGUUACAUAACAUGCCCGCUCGCUAAAGAUGAGGUAAGUCGUAACAAGGUAAGUGUACCGG
This 695-nucleotide ribosomal RNA is filed under the name Geotrygon montana (ruddy quail-dove). RNAcentral's name for it is "partial 12S ribosomal RNA". It matches the Rfam family "Bacterial small subunit ribosomal RNA", at positions 521 to 1508 of the family's 1533-position model. Lineage: Eukaryota; Metazoa; Chordata; Aves; Columbiformes; Columbidae. The record is from RNAcentral.